GAUCCUGGCUUAGGAUGAACGCUAGCGACAGGCUUAACACAUGCAAGUCGAGGGGCAGCACGGGAGUAGCAAUACAACUGGUGGCGACCGGCGCACGGGUGAGUAACGCGUAUGCAACCUACCUAUCAGAGGGGAAUAACCCGGCGAAAGCCGGACUAAUACCGCAUAAAACAGGGGCACCGCAUGGUGAUAUUUGUUAAAGAGAUUCGCUGAUAGAUGGGCAUGCGUUCCAUUAGGUAGUUGGUGAGGUAACGGCUCACCAAGCCGACGAUGGAUAGGGGAACUGAGAGGUUGGUCCCCCACACUGGUACUGAGCACGGACCAGACUCCUACGGGAGGCAGCAGUGAGGAAUAUUGGUCAAUGGGCGGGAGCCUGAACCAGCCAAGUCGCGUGAAGGAAGAAGGAUCUAUGGUUCGUAAACUUCUUUUGCAGGGGAAUAAAGUGCAGGACGUGUCCUGUUUUGUAUGUACCAUGAGAAUAAGGAUCGGCUAACUCCGUGCCAGCCGCCGC
Molecule: ribosomal RNA, 511 nt
Filed under: uncultured bacterium
Lineage: Bacteria
Description: bacterial SSU rRNA
Rfam family: Bacterial small subunit ribosomal RNA
Source: RNAcentral